UACGGAGGAGGCAAGCGUUAUCCGGAAUUAUUGGGCGUAAAGCGUCCGCAGGUGGCACCUCAAGUCUGCUGUCAAAGACCGGGGCUUAACCCCAGAAAGGCAGUGGAAACUGAAGUGCUAGAGUGCAGUAGGGGUAGAGGGAAUUCCCGGUGGAGCGGUGAAAUGCGUAGAGAUCGGGAAGAACAUCGGUGGCGAAAGCGCUCGGCUGGACUGCAUCUGACACUCAGGGACGAAAGCUAGGGGAGCGAAUGGG
This 253-nucleotide ribosomal RNA is filed under the name uncultured bacterium. Its description in RNAcentral is "partial 16S ribosomal RNA". It matches the Rfam family "Bacterial small subunit ribosomal RNA", at positions 524 to 776 of the family's 1533-position model. The record is from RNAcentral.